GGGCCCGCACAAGCAGCGGAGCGUGUGGUUUAAUUCGAUGCAACACGAAGAACCUUACCAAGGCUUGACAUGUUGGAAGUAGCGACCAGAAAUGGUCGCCACCUGUUAAAUCAGGAGCCUUCACAGGUGCUGCAUGGCUGUCGUCAGCUCGUGCCGUGAGGUGUUGGGUUAAGUCCCCCAACGAGCGUAACCCUCGUUGCCAGUUGUUUUCUCUGGCGAGACUGCCCUGCAAAACGGGGAGGAAGGUGGGGAUGACGUCAAGUCAGCAUGGCCUUUAUGCCUUGGGCCACACACACGCUACAAUGGACGGUACAAUGGGUUGCAAUGGAGUGAUUCGGAGCUAAUCCUAAAAGCCGUUCUCAGUUCGGAUUGCAGGCUGAAACCCGCCUGCAUGAAGCCGGAGUUGCUAGUAACCGCAGGUCAGCAUACUGCGGUGAAUACGUUCUCGGGCCUU
Molecule: ribosomal RNA, 454 nt
Filed under: uncultured bacterium
Lineage: Bacteria
Description: bacterial SSU rRNA
Rfam family: Bacterial small subunit ribosomal RNA
Source: RNAcentral